RNAcentral lists this ribosomal RNA (206 nucleotides) under uncultured bacterium. RNAcentral describes it as "partial 16S ribosomal RNA". It matches the Rfam family "Bacterial small subunit ribosomal RNA", at positions 568 to 774 of the family's 1533-position model. The record is from RNAcentral.
CUCGUAGGUGGCCAACUAAGUCAGACGUGAAAUCCCUCGGCUUAACCGGGGAACUGCGUCUGAUACUGGAUGGCUUGAGUUUGGGAGAGGGAUGCGGAAUUCCAGGUGUAGCGGUGAAAUGCGUAGAUAUCUGGAGGAACACCGGUGGCGAAGGCGGCAUCCUGGACCAAUACUGACACUGAGGAGCGAAAGCCAGGGAGCAAACG